This is a long non-coding RNA of Gorilla gorilla gorilla (western lowland gorilla), 5024 nucleotides long. RefSeq lists it as uncharacterized. NCBI's taxonomy places the organism in Eukaryota, Metazoa, Chordata, Mammalia, Primates, Hominidae. The record is from RefSeq and is a predicted model, not a curated record. The transcript has 2 exons.
AACCUCCGCCUCCCGGGUUCAAGUGAUUCUCCUGCCUCAGCCUUCCAAGUAGCUGGGAUUACAGGAACGCGUCACCACGCUCAGCUAAUUUUUGUAUUUUUAGUAGAGACAGGGUUUCACCAUGUUGGUCAGGAUUGUCUCGAUCUCUUGACCUCGUGAUCCACCCGCCUUGGCCUCCCAAAGUGCUGGGAUUAUAGGUGUGAGCCACCGUGCCUGGCCCCCAGAUUCCACUAAAUUCUAAAGAGACCUUUCAGGUCAGUACGUUUUGCCCUGCAGGGAUUUUGUUUUAAUCUUUUGUGAUACAGUUAGAUUCUUGGUCACAUUCUGUGUUCCAUCCAGGGAUAUUCCCACAUAUUAAAUAAUGUAAUUCCACUUGCAUACAUUAUGAUUUACUCUGGGCUUUAAAAUUCUAUCACUUUUCACAAGUGGACAGGGACAGGUAUCCACAGUUAAAGUAUCACAUGGAGUACUUCAAAUCCCCACCGCCAUGAACCCCGUGUCACCACUGAUCAGUUUGCUAUCUCUGUUGUUUUGCCUUUCCAGCAUGUCUAUAAGUGGGGACAUACAGCCUCUGCAUCCUGGCUCUCUCAUGAAGCAGUGUGCCUGUGAGGUCCAUCCAGGUAGCAUGGGUGGAUAGGUCAUGACUUUCUUUCUCUCUCAUAAAGCAGUGUGCCUGUGAGGUCCAUCCAGGUGGCACGGGUGGAUAGGUCAUGCCUUUCUUUUGCUGAAUAGCAUUCCAUUGCACCGCGUACUUCAGUUUGGUUAUGCAUUCAGCUACUGAAGAAUGUCAUGAUUCCUUUAAUUUUUGGCUAUUAUGAAUGGUGCUUCUAUACAUGUGUGUGCUGGUUUUUACUUGGACAUAAUUUUUCAAGGCAGUUGUCUAAAUACCUAAGAAGGAGACUGUUGGAUCAGAUGGUGAGACUUGUUUAGUUUUUGGAAAAACUGCUGAAGUGACUGUACCCUUAUGCCUUCCCCCAGCAAUGAAUGAGACCUCCUAUUGCAAUUGCUACUGUUCUUUAGAUUUUAGCCAUUUUAAUAGAUGUACAGUACUAUCUCAUUUAAUCUGCUUUUCCCUCAUGACAAGUUUGUUGAGUAUUAAUUAAUUUGGAUGCUUAUUUGGUAUCUGUGCAUCUUCUUUGCUGAGGUGUCUUUUCAGAUCUUCACAUAUUUUCAAUUGGGUUGUUCAUCUAAUUCUUUUUGAGUUUUAGAGGUUUUUUUUAAAAAAAUAUUUUGCAGACAAGUCCUUUUUCGGACGUGUUUCCCAAAUAUUUUCUUUUUUUUUCUUGAGACAGGGUCUUACUCCAUCACCCAGGCUGGAGUGCAGUGGUGCGAUCUCAGCUCACUGCAACCUCUGCCUCCUGGGUUCAAGCAAUUCUCCUGCCUCAGCCUCCCGACUAACUGAGAUUACAGGCGUGUGCCACCACAUCCAGCUAAUUUUUUUUGUUUUGUUUUGUAUUUUUAGUAGAGACGGGGUUUCACCAUGUUGGCCAGGCUAGUCUCGAACUCCUGACCUCAAAUGAUCCACCCACUUUGGCCUCCCAAAGUGCUGCGAUUAUGGGUAUGAGCCACCUUGCCCAGCUGUUUCCCAAAUAUUUUCUAUCAAUCAGUCUGUGAAUUGCUUUUUUGUUCUCUUAACCAGAGCAGCCAUUUUAAAUUUUAAUAAAGUCCCCGUUACUGCUUUGGUUUCUUUCGUGGGUUGGCUUUUGGUAUUGCAUCUAGAAACUCAUCACCCAAACCAAGGCCAUGUAGAUAUUUUUCUCGGCUUUCUUCUAUAACUUUCACAACUUUGCACUUGAAAAUUUAAGUCUAUGGACUAUUUUGAGUGAAUUUUUGGAUAAAAUACAAGGUUUUUGUCUCCAUUCAUUUCUUUCCCCUAUGGUUUGCAAUUGUUCUGUUGUCUUUUGUGGAACAGACUUCUCUUUCUCCACUGAGUUGCCUUUGUCCCUUCGACAAAGUCAGUUGGCUUGAGUCUGUUUGGGGGCUCUCUGUUCUGUCCCACUUAUCUAUGUGUCUAACCGCUUCACCACUGCCACGCUCUCUUCAUUACUGUGGCUUUAGGGUGAGUGUUCAGAUCCAGAUGUGUGAGGUCUUUAACUUUGUUCUCCUUCAGUCUUAUUUCAUCCAUUCUGGGUUUAGGAACAGUUUGUCGAUAUCUUUGCCUGGAAUUUAACGGGGAUUUGGCUGAAUCUAUAGAUCAAUUUGGAAAGAAUUGUCACCUUCACAAUAAUGAGUGCACUUCUCCUAAAUAAGGAACAUCUCUGCAUUUACUUAUACCUCUUUUGGUUUCUCUCAACUGUGAUUCAUGGUUUUCCGAAUGCAUGUUUGCACACCUUUUGUUACGCUGAUACUUAAUGGAUUCAGCUUUAGGGGUGCUAUUGUAAAUGGUAGUUUAAUAUUUCUAGUUCCAAUUAUUUCCAUCCAUUAUUGGCGAUAUGAAGAAACUCAACUGACUUUUGCCUACUGGACAUCUUUUUUAGUUUUUAUUUUAUUUAUUUUUUUGAGACGGAGUUUCACUCUUGUUGCCCAGGCUGGAGUGCAAUGGUGCAGCUCACCGAAACCUCCGCCUCCUGGGUUCAAGCGAUUCUCCUGCCUCAGACUCCCGAGUAGCAGGAAUUACAGGCACGCGCCACCACGCCCAGCUAAUUUUUGUAUUUUUAGUAGAGACAGGGUUUCUGCACGUUGGUCAGGCUGGUCUCAAACUCUCGACCUCAGGUGAUCCGCCCGCCUCGGCCUCCCAAAGUGCUGGGUUUACACGCGUGAGCCACCGCGCCCGGGCCAUCUUUUUUAGUUUUUAAAAUCUCCAUCCGUUCCGAUCAAGGCACGGGAUGGUGGCCUCGAUUUCAGUUGACAUUUCCGAAAUCACGGCCCGCUGAUUUUCAGAGAUUCCCCAGGACUGCCGCGAGGGGGCGCCCGGCUCCCGCCCAACCUGGAGCACGCGCGGGAACCGCGGCGGAUCCGCACUCGUCGCCCCGGGGCGUCCACCGGGAAGACGGAGCCACGUUCUCUUCAGGACCCGCCCGGGAGCGGCCGCGGUUCGGGACACCCGGUCACCAGAUGGCACCGAAAGCGAAGGAAGCUCCUGCUCCUCCUAAAGCCGAAGCCAAAGUGAAGGCUUUAAAGUCCAAGAAGGCAGUGUUGAAGGUGUCCACAGCCACACGCAAAAAAGAAGAUCUGCAUGUCACUCACCUUCAGGUGGCCCAAGACACUGCGACUCCGGAGGCAGCCCAAAUAUCCUCGGAAGAGCACCCCCAGGAGAAACAAGCUUGACCACUAUGCUAUCAAGUUUCCACUGACCACUGAGUUGGCUGGAAGAAGAUACAAGAAAACAACAUGCUUGUGUUCUUUGUGGAUGUUAAAGCCAACAAGCACCAUAUCAAACAGGCCGUGAAGAAGCUCUAUGACAGUGAUGUGGCCAAGGUCACCACCCUGAUUUGUCCUGAUAAAGAGAAGAAGGCAUAUGUUCGACUGGCUCCUGAUUAUGAAGCUUUGGAUGUUGCAACAAAAUUGGGAUCAUCUAAACUGACCCCAGCUGGCUAACUCUAAAUAUAUGUGUAUCUUUUCACCAUAAAAAAUAAUGUUUUUCAUAAGAAUGACAACUUAAUUAGAACCAAAUCUAUAGGCUUUAAGAUUUUACAUUUCUGUAAGUAUAAUAUUAGCUUAUUUGACUAGAACUCAAGCAGAAUGGGAAUUUAUGUUUGUUUUAUAUUCAAUAGUGAUAACUUUGAAGACAUAGUUGUUUUAUUACACCAAAAAUAUUAUAUUAAUCUCAUUUAACUAAGUUUUAUCCAAAUCAUGUUAACUUAAAAAACAUUUGAUCAGUUACUAUAUUUCUAGGAGUUUGGUGAAUAUUUAUUUAUAAAUGGUUAUUUUUUUCCAAGCCAAGUUAGAAUAGAGCACUUUUAGAGGAUUUUAUAAAUGAAUUUUGCAGUGGUAUCCGGAGUUAAGAAAAUAUCACAUGUACAUAACAUACAUUAAUAGAUAUACAAACACAAAUAGAGAUUUCAUAGCUUUCAUCCUGAAAUUUCAGCCAUGAAUCAGGCAUAAAUAUUCUGAUGGUUAAUUUUAGACAUCUACUUGACUGGAUUAAGAGACACACAUAGCUGGUCAAACACGAUUUCAGCCAUGAAUCAGGCAUAAAUAUUCCGAUGGUUAAUUCUAGACAUCUACUGGACUGGAUUAAGGGACACACACAGCUGGUCAAACACAAUUUCUGGGCAUAUCUGUGAGGGUGUUUCUGGAAGACACUGAGAUAACCCUGACCUAGUGUGGAUGGGCACUGAUAGGGUUUGGCUGUGUCCCCACCCAGAUCUCAUCUUGAAUUGUAGUUCCUAUAAUCCCUACAUGUCAUGGGAGGGACCCGGUGGGAGGUGAUUGAAUCAUGGUGGUGGUUACUGCCAUGCUGUUCCCAUGACAGUGAGUGAGUUCUCAUGAUCUGAUGGUUUUAUAAGGGGCUGUUCCCCUUUGGCGCAGCACUUCUCCUUGUUGCUGCCAUGUGAAGAAGGACAUCUUUGCUUCCCCUCUGCCAUGAUUGUGAGGCCCCUGCAGCCACGUGGAACUGUCAACCCAUUAAACCUCUUUGUUCUUUAUAAAUUGCUCAGACUCACGUAUUUCUUCAUCGCUGUAUAAAAAUGGAUGAAUACAGGCACCAUCCAAUUGGUUGAGAGCCAAGAUAAACAAGGAAGAGGAAAGGUGAAUUAUCUCCUUCUGAAAUGGAAACAUCCUUCUUCUCCUGCCCUUGACAUCAGAACUUCAGGGUCUCAGAGCUUUGGCCUCAGAAUCAGAGUUACACCAUUGGCUUCCCUGAUUCUGAGUCCUUUAUAUCUGGAGUGAGCCACGCUGCCAACUUUCCUGGUUCUCCAACUUGGAGACAGGCUAUUGUGUAACUUCUCAGCCUCCAUAAUUAUGUGAACCAAUUCCCCUAAUGAGUCUUCUCUCAUCUAUCUAUCUACAUAUAUCCUAUUGAUUCUGCCUUUCUGGAGAACCCUGACUAAUGUUAUUACAAUAAUACAAAAUUCACUAGUUUA